Poecile atricapillus (Black-capped chickadee) is the source of this 425-nucleotide long non-coding RNA. RefSeq lists it as uncharacterized. Lineage: Eukaryota; Metazoa; Chordata; Aves; Passeriformes; Paridae. The record is from RefSeq and is a predicted model, not a curated record. The transcript has 3 exons.
CGCGGGCAGGGGCCCGGGCCACUCCGCUCCCUCUGAUCGCUCUUGCAGUUUGCCGAGCACCUUCCGCUGUCGCGGCUCCGCCGCUCGCCUGCCGGUACUGAUGCUGAAGGUCCUCAGGAGCCUCCUACAACCACCACACACUCUUCCUCCAAAGAUGAUAAUCAAGAGCAGCCUUGCAGUCACAGCCAACUCCUUCAGUGCUUAUGGAUGCAGCUCAUCAGGUCCCAUGUACUUGUGCAUGUUGAUUUUGCUUAAAUGUUCCCUUACUGGAGCCUACUUCACACCAAAGCAGGCAUGAGCAGAAGGAAGACAAGAUGAGACACUUACUGUAUCAAGCAUCUCUUUGGUAUGAGCUGCAGACAAACAGAAUCUGGCUCUGGACUCGAUGAUGGGGGUGGCAGGGAAGCCCACAACCACAACACCGA